RNAcentral lists this ribosomal RNA (489 nucleotides) under uncultured bacterium. Its description in RNAcentral is "bacterial SSU rRNA". It matches the Rfam family "Bacterial small subunit ribosomal RNA", at positions 30 to 514 of the family's 1533-position model. The record is from RNAcentral.
UGAACGCUAGCGGCAGGCCUAAUACAUGCAAGUCGAGCGGCAAGUUGAGUAGUAAUACUUGACCUAGAGCGGCGCACGGGUGCGUAACGCGUAUGCAACCUACCUUUUACUGGGGGAUAGCCCGGAGAAAUCUGGAUUAAUACCCCAUGGUAUCUACGGAUCGAAUGGUUUGUAGCUUAAAGAUUUAUCGGUAAAAGAUGGGCAUGCUUCUGAUUAGCUAGUUGGCGGGGUAACGGCCCACCAAGGCGACGAUCAGUAGGGGUUCUGAGAGGAAGGUCCCCCCGCACUGGCACUGAGAUACGGGCCAGACUCCUACGGGAGGCAGCAGUAGGGAAUAUUGGGCAAUGGUCGCAAGACUGACCCAGCCAUGCCGCGUGCAGGAAGACGGCCCUCUGGGUUGUAAACUGCUUUUAUCUGGGAAGAAAACGUCCAUGCGUGGAAAAUUGCCGGUACCAGAUGAAUAAGCACCGGCUAACUCCGUGCCAGCAG